GAGAUUUGCCAUCCGUAGGUUGCGGAUAAUGACAAUCUGGACAUUCAGUGGCCUUAGCUUUUUUCCCUAAGCGGCUCUCCUGGCCUUGGCGGUACUUUUCGCAUCGGCGUUCACUUGUCUCUUGCCUUAACUCUCGGACCAACUUUCUUGGUGGUCAAUCUCACUUAAUUUCUUAUAGUAAAAUGUCUCUUUAUCUUACUUAUGAGGUAGGAAGAACAGUUGUACAAAUUCUACAGUUAUAACUGUUUGCACAGUUCCACUGUGGAAUAGUUCUUACUGUUAUAAUUUGUCAGACAGUGUAUCAUUGUAUGGCUCUGAUACCACUUUGCGCCAGGAUCUACAGCACUGUCUUUUGGUUAGGUUUUAUCUAUUUUAAUUGCUUUGGUUUAAGUUUAUGGAGAAUCUAUGGAGAAUCUAUGGAGAUUUAACUAUUGCGGAUAACAGAGUUAUAAUAAAUAAGUAAACAGCAAGCUGUUAUACUGGAUUAUUGACUGUAAAAUUCUGUAGUAAUUUAAGCAGAAUAAUAUGAUUCCUAUGAAAGGAAUUAUUGAAAUAUCAAGUACAAUCCACUGAGCGUAACUAAUGUUACCUAUUUUAAUAUUAAAUAAAAUUUUAAACUGCAUGAAAUUUUUUCAGAAAAUCACACUAGCAUCUUAUUAUCAUUUACAGAGAAUAUUACAGAGCAAAUAAUAUUACAGGGUACAGAGGAGAUAAAAGCAGGAAAGCAAGUAAUAAAACUAAAAGCAUAAGACUUACUGGGUAGCAAGAAAUAAAAUGAAAAGCACAAGAUUUACUGGGUACAUAUACAGUAACUGGAAAAGAGUUUCCAGUGGUGAGGACAGUAAGAAGGCAAGUUAUUGAUAUUGCAAUCACACAUUAUUAAGAGUGAGGUGAGAGAUGACCUGGUUCAGCUAUGAGGGCAAUGAUAGCUGUGAAUAAGAACAGUUGCAGGGUUCAGAUGCAGACGUACAGGUGCAGAUGCAGAGCAGAGGUACAGGUGAAGGACAGAGGUUCGGAUGCAGGUCUGGAGGUCUGAGGUUUGAUCUGAAUACAUUGAAAGAGCCUUUCUAAUAGAUAUUUCCAUUGAGCACCAGCAGGUUCACAUGGACCCAAGUAAGCUUGCACCAUUAUACCUGUUAAAUCAUCUUAAUCCUAUCAAUGGGGUUAAGACCAGAGAGUACUAUGAAGCAAUUCUAAUGGAAACAGGAUCCAUCUCUGUUGUCAAUUAUUUACAACAAAAUACCAGAAUCAUAGCCUAUUCAAAGGUACAAAUAAAAAAGCUCCUUCCUUAUACUGAGUGGGGUUCUAAUCCCGCACAUGGGAAGAAAUUACAAAAUUCUGAAUUUUCUUACAAAUAUUUCAAAUACGCUGAGUAUAUAGAAGCUUGGCAUAAAUUUUUCUAUUACCAAAACCCCAACAAUACUCAUAGCUGGUAUUUACAGUUUCGGCUACCAAUUUUCGAAAGGUUCCCCACUUGGUUUCAAAACUGGUUUUUUGUGUGGGGAUCAACUGCGAUGAUUUUACCUCCUGCUUUCAAAAAACUGCAGGAACAAUUUAUACAAUACAAUAAUACCAAUAAUACAGUUGAUACUCACCUUUACUUUAUGGCUUUAUACCAAAUCCCUUGGAUCAUGAAAUGGGAUUAUACCAUCUCACCCAAUACUUCCAAUGAUUAUACCUACAUCCCUCGCUUGGGAAAGACCAUCUCUGUCAAAUGGUGGGAUAUCUUCCAAAUGGAUCUCAUCAAAGCCACUCCAAAGAGAAUACCUUCCGAAACACCUAUAUACCAGAAAAACCCAAAUACUCCAAACACUUCAUUCGAUUUUCCUACCUAUUUGAGAAAUAUGCUUCAAACCAACCCUCAUGCUUCCAAGGACGAACUUGAAAAACAAAUGAAAGAGAUAUUUGCUGAAGCAGGAAGAAAACCUACAUCUUCCGAAGAAACAGUUCAGUCCUCUCCACUACACACCAAUAGAUAUCUCCAGCUCAGUCAAAAGGAUCCAGAAGAAACCGAUCCAGACGAAACAGAUCCAGAAGAAGACGAUCCGGAUGAGUUCAGCCAGAGACCAUGAAUAACCAUCAUCACCGUCAAAAACCAUCAUCAUCAUCAUGAAGAAAGAUAGUAUGGGUCCUACCACCAAAGAAGGACACUCAUUGUAAUAAGGCCAAAAGAGCCUAGAUAUUUUACUUUUUAUUAUUUUUUAUUUUUAGAGCAUCCCCCUAUGCUCAUGUUUUGUCCACUAGCACUUUUGUCAUAUUCACCGACACCUCCUCUUGUCGUAUCUGUAGACAUCUGGGCCCCUCUCCUUUGUCCAUAUGCACCGAAGAUUCUCUUUUCCUUGUCCACAUAUGCUGUCCACAUAUGACAUCUCUCUUUUCCUUUUUGUCCUAUUCAAAUAGUUGCCAGCUGUCUUCCUUUACCGACAAUGGCCGACAAAAGCAUCUACCUACUUUGUCCUCUUGUUAGCUGCCGACAAUGGCAUCCACCUCAUUUGUUGUCCUCUUCUAAAAAUACUGGCCAGCUGUAAAGCCAAAAGGAUUCCUUCCGACUCCUAUAAGAAGGAAGCACUUCCUUCAUUCAGAGGCAGGGCCUCACUCCUCUCCUCUUCCAGAGCUAAACUCUUCUCCUCUCUCAACCUUACCUGAAGCCUUCGCCAACUUUGCGCCAGGAUCUACAACACUGUCUUUUGGUUAGGUUUUAUCUAUUUUAAUUGCUUUGGUUUAAGUUUAUGGAGAAUCUAUGGAGAAUCUAUGGAGAUUUAACUAUUGCGGAUAACAGAGUUAUAAUAAAUAAGUAAACAGCAAGCUGUUAUACUGGAUUAUUGACUGUAAAAUUCUGUAGUAAUUUAAGCAGAA
This 2856-nucleotide long non-coding RNA is filed under the name Amborella trichopoda. RNAcentral's name for it is "long non-coding RNA (ATRI_LNC002073)". The record is from RNAcentral. Lineage: Eukaryota; Viridiplantae; Streptophyta; Magnoliopsida; Amborellales; Amborellaceae.